UGUGUGUGUGUGUGUGUGUAUAAAACUGUGUGUGUAUAUAUACAUAUACAUAUAUGUGUAUACACACACACACACACAUU
Molecule: non-coding RNA, 80 nt
Organism: Podarcis lilfordi (Lilford's wall lizard)
Lineage: Eukaryota; Metazoa; Chordata; Lepidosauria; Squamata; Lacertidae
Source: the annotation of a GenBank genome assembly